UUUUGUUGGGUGCCCAAAAAUUAACGAUACCGAUUACCCGGUAUGUGAUGUCACCUCACUAGAAAAUUGCCAUGUCGACCUGUCGCGAACAAUAUACAAAUAUUAUAAAUG
This is a long non-coding RNA of Maniola jurtina (meadow brown), 111 nucleotides long. RefSeq lists it as uncharacterized. The transcript is spliced from 3 exons. The record is from RefSeq and is a predicted model, not a curated record. NCBI's taxonomy places the organism in Eukaryota, Metazoa, Arthropoda, Insecta, Lepidoptera, Nymphalidae.